AGACAACAGGACCAGAAGUUCACUUGGCACGUGCUGGAGAAGUUCAGCAGCAGAAUCCAAGGCUAGUUUGCAAGAUGGAGGGAGGUGGAAUAGGAGCAGAGGUUGAGUCAGACGCACGCGGGAAGGAGUACGCACAAAGCUCAUAUUAAAGGAGAGUCCGAAACUGGAGGACAUAGGUUCAAGGUAAAAGGAGAAAAUUUAAAGAGGACAUGAGGGGCAAAUUUUUCAUGCAGAGACUGAUCACUAUCAACGCAUUGUUGAAAAAUUGUGUAACUCAAGACAGGAAGAUGCAACAAUGUAAGGACUGUGCCUGUUGUUGCAGAGAAGUGGGACAAACAGUUGGAUUUUAUUCAUCUACAGCACUCUAUCAAUUCACAUAUUUACAGUUACAUCCUACUUGAACUAGAAUACUGGUGCUUAAGAAAUAAAAACUAUUGGCUACAUUUAGAAUAAGAUAGAUCUAAACUUGAAGGAGAACACAAUAUAAAUUUAGCUUACACGAGGAAAUCUGCAGAU
Molecule: long non-coding RNA, 516 nt
Organism: Hypanus sabinus (Atlantic stingray)
Lineage: Eukaryota; Metazoa; Chordata; Chondrichthyes; Myliobatiformes; Dasyatidae
Exons: 3
Source: RefSeq, a predicted model, not a curated record